Molecule: long non-coding RNA, 704 nt
Filed under: Durio zibethinus
Lineage: Eukaryota; Viridiplantae; Streptophyta; Magnoliopsida; Malvales; Malvaceae
Description: long non-coding RNA (DZIB_LNC002415)
Source: RNAcentral
GAUGAGGUUAUAAGUUGUUCCAAUUUGCCAAUCAAAGAAAAGCAGCCUACUCGCAUUGUGAUGGAAGCUUGCUCCGAGGUUCAAAGGGAGAGCAGUUCUCAAAAGAAGUUGUGUGCUGAUGCAACUGCAGAUGAUGACAGCCAUGAAAAUUACCUGAUUAGAAAUGAAAAAAAUCAGGAAGAAUCUGUUUCUUGCUGUGUUACACCUAUAAAUCAGUCUACUAUCUCAAUCCAAAAGUACUCGAGAACUCGAAUAGAGGGUCAUGCUACUGUGAAUGUGAAUGAUGGUGGGGAGGUAGAGAAUAGAAAUCUUGAGUCUGCUGUGGCAAAUUGUAGAUCAAGUGCCAUGAAUGGAAGAAAGAGGAAGAGAGAACAGGAGGAAAUACCUGAAAAAGUUGGUGGCAAUGGCUUUAUUAGAAGUCCAUGUGAAGGAUUGAGGCCAAGGGCUCGGAAAGAUGCAACUAGCGGUGUUAAUGUCGACAAAACAUCCCAGGAGGAGCUGCCAACAAAAGAGACGAGGAGACCUUCAAUUCAUACCCAGAGUAAGAAAAUAAUUAAAAGGGGCUCUCAUAGAUGUGACCUGGAAGGCUGCCAUAUGAGCUUUGAGACAAAGGAAGAGUUGAGGUUGCACAAACGCAAUCGGUGCCCAUAUGAGGGCUGUGAAAAGAAGUUCCGCUCCCACAAAUAUGCAAUUCUUCAUCAACG